UCCCUGGUGUCUCAGCAGGUUAAGGAUCAGUGUUGUCACUGCUGUGGUGUGGGUUUGAUCCCUGUCCUGGGAA
This 73-nucleotide transfer RNA is filed under the name Sus scrofa (pig). It matches the Rfam family "tRNA". Rfam says of the family: Transfer RNA (tRNA) molecules are approximately 80 nucleotides in length. Their secondary structure includes four short double-helical elements and three loops (D, anti-codon, and T loops). The record is from Rfam by way of RNAcentral. Lineage: Eukaryota; Metazoa; Chordata; Mammalia; Artiodactyla; Suidae.